Molecule: non-coding RNA, 1887 nt
Organism: Malus domestica (apple)
Lineage: Eukaryota; Viridiplantae; Streptophyta; Magnoliopsida; Rosales; Rosaceae
Source: RefSeq, a predicted model, not a curated record
UUUAGAGAGGUUAACUUAGGCAGCAGCCAAUGAGAAAGGAAAAAAAAAAAAAAGGCCCAUUGAUUCCUGGCUCCGCCAUGCUCCCAUGGCGGCCUCCAAGCUCGUGAUUCUCUCAAUCUUUCUUGCCCUUAUUUUCUCCCAGAUUCGGGCUGUCGCUUCAAUCCCGGCGGAGGAAGAAGAGCCAGUGAAGUUCCCCCGAUCGGACACCCCUGAUUCUUCCGCUCUGAAGAUCGAGCUGAAUCAGCUCAGGCCUAAGAUCCACUCCCUAGGUUCGUUUCUAUCAUCUUCUGCGAAUUCUAGGGUUUAUUGGACGAAAUUUGUGAUUUUUCAAGUGUUUGUGGAAUUCGAUUUUUUUCCCUCGGUUUUCUGGCCAUCCAAACAGAUUUUACUAAAGUUAGAGAUCCUUUGGUUUUUCAAUUGGGAAGCGCUUUAAUUCCUUUCCAUUUAUAAUUUUGUGUUUAUGUUUUGGCAUCCAAGUAAUACUGCCAAUUAGCUGAGCUCUGGUGCUUACUUGUAAAGCUUUGAUUUUUCAAUUUUUAUAAUUUUAGUCAGAGCAAUAAAGAUGCUUAAUUGUUUAGUUACUUUGUGAGUAGAAACAACAUCGAUGUUAGUCGAAUUUGAUUUCGAGCUUUUUUUGUGUGUUUUGAGUGUUGUUUGGGUUUUCCUGGCUGGUGGUUUGUGUUUCUUGGAUGUCGAAGAAUUCGACGCCAGUGAGAAGAUUAAGGCACUGAAAAAGAAGAAUGAGCUUAUAGAAGAGGAGGAGGAAGUAAUUCAAGGGAACUCGGAUAGCAUUUCUUCGUUGCAGAGUGAAAUCGAGUCUCUCCAGUACGUGCACGGUUAGGGUUUGUGACAGUGUAAGAAAUAUAUUUAGUUGGAGCGGAAGACAACGAUUGGCUCUUUAGUCAACUAGUUCGAGUUCUUCUAGUGUGUCAACUAUCAUAGAGUGUGGUUGAGAUUUCAUGGAACUUGAUGGGCUCAUUGUGGGGCGUGUCCUUCUCGUUUGACGCAUGUCUCGAAUCGUUUAUAAAGAUAAAAUUAGUAUUAAUAGAGGCUCAAUGAGUCUUUACGGCUCAUCUCGGUGAGUGAUUUUAAUUUAUGUGAUAUCGGUGAUUACCUUGUUUUCGUAAUUGUUAUCCUGUGUGAAUAUGACUUGGUUUUAUAAAUAUGUUUUCUAUUGAAUUGUUAUUUUUAAUGCUUAGCCAUUGAUUUAAGUUUAUGAAAUGAGAUUUGACGUGUAUAUAUUGAAAUAUGGUUUGAUUUGUUUGAUUGGCAUGUUGUGAUGAAAUGUGAGGGCUAGUGGUGGAUCAUUAAACCAUUGGGAUGGGGAUUUGUUGCUUCGUUUUAAAUUUAGUAUUUGUGCCUUAUUUCCCUUGGUUGAGCUUUGGUAAAUUAAGUAACUUGUGUUUGUCUCAUUUACUUGAGCCGUUGUACAUAUGGUUGUUGACCUUCCACGAUUCCGUUGAGUGAUGGUACGAAAUCGUAUCCACUCAGAUUCCGUUGAAAGAUGGUUCGGAAUUCCUUCUAUUCCGCGAUUCCGUUGAGUGAUGGUCCGGAAUCGUAUCCACUCGGAUUCUGUUGAGAGAUGGUCCGAAGUCCCUCAUACUCCGCAAUUCCUUUGAGUGAUGGUCUGGGAUCAUAUCCACCUUGGGUUUCAUUGAAUUUGGAUUAAGAUAACUUCAAAGAUGUAGGCUUCGGCCGAACUGUGUCACUUUAGCCUACUUUGUAUUAUUGUCGCUCUAGCCUACUAUGUCGCUCUAGCCUACUUUUCAUUGUGUUGUAUAAGAUUAUGGUUGUGAGAUGUGAUUUGUUUUAGACGAACCGUUGGAUGUUUGUGUGACUCCUUCAUAGUUUUCAAAUGUUUGGUAUUGAUUCUUUACAAAUGAUUUA